CCAGACUCCUACGGGAGGCAGCAGUGAGGAAUAUUGGUCAAUGGCCGAGAGGCUGAACCAGCCAAGUCGCGUGAGGGAAGACGGCCCUACGGGUUGUAGACCUCUUUUGUCGGGGAGCAAAGCGAGUCACGUGUGACUCAUUGAGAGUACCCGAAGAAAAAGCAUCGGCUAACUCCGUGCCAGCAGCCGCGGUAAUACGGAGGAUGCGAGCGUUAUCCGGAUUUAUUGGGUUUAAAGGGUGCGCAGGCGGAGGUGCAAGUCAGCGGUCAAAUUGCGGGGCUCAACCCCGUACUGCCGUUGAAACUGGCGUUCUUGAGUGAGCGAGAAGUAUGCGGAAUGCGUGGUGUAGCGGUGAAAUGCAUAGAUAUCACGCAGAACUCCGAUUGCGAAGGCAGCAUACCGGCGCUCAACUGACGCUCAUGCACGAAAGCGUGGGUAUCGAACAGGAUUAGAUACCCUAGUA
This 463-nucleotide ribosomal RNA is filed under the name uncultured bacterium. Its description in RNAcentral is "bacterial SSU rRNA". It matches the Rfam family "Bacterial small subunit ribosomal RNA", at positions 331 to 792 of the family's 1533-position model. The record is from RNAcentral.